ACUCCUACGGGAGGCAGCGGUGGGGAAUUUUCCGCAAUGGGCGAAAGCCUGACGGAGCAAUACCGCGUGAGGGAAGACUGCCUAUGGGUUGUAAACCUCUUUUUUCAGGGAGGAAUAAAAUGACGUGUACCUGAAGAAUAAGCAUCGGCUAACUCCGUGCCAGCAGCCGCGGUAAUAC
Molecule: ribosomal RNA, 178 nt
Filed under: uncultured bacterium
Lineage: Bacteria
Description: partial 16S ribosomal RNA
Rfam family: Bacterial small subunit ribosomal RNA
Source: RNAcentral